This 465-nucleotide ribosomal RNA is filed under the name uncultured bacterium. RNAcentral's name for it is "partial 16S ribosomal RNA". It matches the Rfam family "Bacterial small subunit ribosomal RNA", at positions 28 to 507 of the family's 1533-position model. The record is from RNAcentral.
GACGAACGCUGGCGGCGUGCUUAACACAUGCAAGUCGAACGGUAAGGCCCCUUCGGGGGUACACGAGUGGCGAACGGGUGAGUAACACGUGAGCAACCUGCCCUUGACUCUGGAAUAACAGUUGGAAACAGCUGCUAAUACUGGAUAUUCAUCGUCUCCUUCCUGGGGGGUGGUGGAAAGCUCCGGCGGUCAGGGAUGGGCUCGCGGCCUAUCAGCUUGUUGGUGAGGUAAUGGCUCACCAAGGCUUCGACGGGUAGCCGGCCUGAGAGGGCGACCGGCCACACUGGGACUGAGAUACGGCCCAGACUCCUACGGGAGGCAGCAGUGGGGAAUAUUGCACAAUGGGCGCAAGCCUGAUGCAGCAACGCCGCGUGCGGGAUGACGGCCUUCGGGUCGUAAACCGCUUUCAGUAGGGACGAAGGGUGACUGACGGUACCUACAGAAGAAGGACCGGCUAACUACGUG